UACAGAGGGUGCGAGCGUUGUUCGGAAUUACUGGGCGUAAAGCGUGCGCAGGCGGCUAUGCAAGACAGAUGUGAAAUCCCCGGGCUCAACCUGGGAACUGCAUUUGUGGCUGCAUGGCUAGAGUACGGUAGAGGGGGAUGGAAUUCCGCGUGUAGCAGUGAAAUGCGUAGAUAUGCGGAGGAACACCGAUGGCGAAGGCAAUCCCCUGGACCUGUACUGACGCUCAUGCACGAAAGCGUGGGGAGCAAACAGG
This 253-nucleotide ribosomal RNA is filed under the name uncultured bacterium. Its description in RNAcentral is "partial 16S ribosomal RNA". It matches the Rfam family "Bacterial small subunit ribosomal RNA", at positions 524 to 776 of the family's 1533-position model. The record is from RNAcentral.